CACCUCCUCUUUUCACACUAUCGAUGAACUUCGAUUCACGUAGUAUUGGCUUUUAAGUGACUUGACGAAUGCACGACUAUCCCGCAUUGACAGUUUCACUCCACACCAUAGGUGUCGCUACGUGUCAAAACCGACACACAUCGUAGAAGAAGAAUCAAUCCCGGAAGUGUAGUAGCCGAAGCUUUGCAGGACAACAACCUCUACUUUUACUUUUGUAUUCGUUGUAUAUUGUUUUAUUGUCGGUUGUGUCUUUCCUGCAUGUUGAGGCAACACAGAGACGAGUCACUUUAAAGUCUGCAUACUUUUACAAAUUCAGGAUGGAAAAGUUGAUCACUUGUUUCAAGAAAAAGCCAGAGGCUGUUGCCAGGUUGAUCUGCUUCCCCUGGGCAGGUGGAGGCUCCAUACAUUAUGCACGCUGGGGGAACGUCUUUAACAGCUCCAUAGAAGUGCUUUCUGUCAGACUUCCAGGACGUGAAAGUCGGGCCAAAGAACCUUUCUUUGAGAACAUGCAGCAAAUUGUGGAUGAGGUUCUUCAUUUGUUAUUGCCAGUGCUCAAAGAGAAGCCAUUUGCUCUAUUUGGCCACAGUUUUGGUGCUCAUACAAGCUAUGCUGUUGCAGAUGCUCUGAAGAAAGUGCACAAUAUUGAGCCAGUUCAUAUUUUCCUUUCUGGUGCACCUGCACCUUAUUCCGAGACUCGGAUCCAAACCACAAAGAGAAGUGACUUAUCAGACAAGGACUUUCUCAAGUGGCUGGCUUCGAUCGGGGGAACUCCGCCUGAGCUCCUGGCCAACCCCGAAGUUCUGCAACUGUUCCUUCCUGCGCUUAAAGCUGACCUACAUGUUGUCGAGAACUACAAGUGUAACACGCCAUUAAGUCCAUUCCUGUCCUGCCCAGUCUCAUGCUUUGACGGCAAAGAUGAUAUUCCUCAUGAUUUACAAGUUGGAAGGUGGUGAAGAUGUUGGUGGUGGUGGUGGCGGCGGAGUUACUGGUGGCUGGAGCUCUUCGUCGCUACUGUCUUCCCCGGCUGCUGCUUCAGCCUGCACGAUGGAGUCCGUGGAUUGCGACAGGCUUCGCAUGCUACUGGGCGUACACGGUAACCUCUCCCGGGCCCUCUCCGAGGGGGCUGCUAUGUUGCUGUCAGCCUCCGUCUCUGACAACCAUGGAGGAGCCAGCGUUGAUUCAGCCGGGUCCAUUUGCAUCAGGAAAGUUGGGUUCUCAUUUUCUGCCCCCAAAAAAAAAAAACGUAAAUAAUUUUCUCAAAUUUUCAAUCAGUGUUUGGAUUCUUCUAGGAGAAGCCGAUGGAUGGAAUCUACCUUCUGCUUUACGAAGGACUUUCAUGGACUUCGCUACCUGUUUCCUGCCUUUGUACAAGUGUUGCUGCAGCAGGUGGUGACUGAUGUCUUCCGUUUGCUUCGCACCCUUGAAAGACUGAUCGUGCAUUUCCAAGCUCACCGAAGGCCAAGGCUCUCGUCUACUCGGGUAAAAUGAUCAAAAAUGGCCACUCAAUUAUCUCGACCCGUUGAAAUGAUUGACUUACCCCAAAGAGGACACUGCGCCAUGAUUGUCCACCAUAAUGUCAGACAUCACUUCCGAGGAUUUUUGCGCAAACCUUUUCUCGAGUUCAAUCACUCCAGAUUGAUUCCGGAUCAGUCCCAAAGAACCGUUGCGUUCGCCCUGCAUCCAAUAAUAGCGUUUAGAACGAUUAAGAAGAUAUUCUACCGUGUGCGGUAGGUACUAACCUCGGCCACAUAACUUAUAGCAUCCUUGAGAUUGAGCCGAUGAAAAACUUUGAAAACGUAAUCUUGAUUCUUCCUCGCCGAGGGCUUCAUCAAAAUGGGCGCCACCCACUUGUUUUCAAAAUGAUUCCACCUGCGGAGUAAAUAACGCUUAGAGCACCAUUCAAAACCCGAAUUUAAAAGAAAAAAAAAUGAUGUCACAUACUUAUCCAUCAUGUAGUUGUGACCAAAUUGCCCGGCGAUAUCUUCAAUUGCAACAAGCAUGUGUUCGAAGACCUAAUUGAACAGCAGGAUUGUGUUUUAAUAGUGUAAAUGCAAUUUUUUUAAAAACCCUCACCUUAUUCUGCACCGUUUCGAUGAGCGUGUGCUCAGCAUCCGAAGCUUUCUUUACUUUCAGCCAAGCGACAAGAGGUUUCAGCGUCAGUCCCUGCAAAUUAAAUACUGAGCCACAUCAACCAAUCUAAAAUGCUCUUAAGAAAACAAAAACCUACCUGAAGGAUGACAGUGAAGUAAACUACAAUCAAAGUCGUGGAGACCAAUAGAUUUUUCUCCUUAAUCGUGUUUUUAUCCAGCAUCAUUGCCAGGCCAUAAGCAACUGCCCCUCGCAGGCCACCGUAGCUCAUAAUAAUCUGAUCAAUGAACUCCAAAGGAACCAGCCGGAAUUUGUUCAUGAUCCAGGUUAGGAAAAAAACACCUGUUGCACACAAACUUGUAAAUCAUUGUUUCCAUUUAACUCUCAAAUCUGAUCAAAUCUCACCGAUGAAGCGAUUCACAAAGAUGAAGAAGAGUGUGAGGAGGACAAAGCCCGUGUUCCACACCCAUAAAUCCUUAUCAAUGGCUAUGAUUCCCAGGAAAACAAAAAUGAUGGUUUCUGAUCCAUUGGCGAGCACCUUCAUGGCAUAUCUGACCGUAGUGACGGACCUUUCAUCCAUGUUUGCGUUGAUGUACUUUUUGCAGACCACGCCACAGCUGAAAACCCUAAGAACAUUUCAAAACGUUUGGCCAGUACAUUAAACAGUAAUCAGAUUGAAAGGACUCACGACAAGAUGGCGGAAAGGGACAACAUCUCAGCAGUCAGGUAGGAGAGGUACCCCACCACAAAUAUAAAACCCGGCUCGAUAAUCUGGAUGCUUCUUGUGUAUCUGGUCAGAAGCGAGAGCAGCAAACCAAAAACUACACCGAGGAGGGAGCCGCCAACUGCCACUAAAAAAAAAGACACUGGACAAAACAGGAAGGGAAAUCUCAAACGUUGUUUUGCUCCUUAAGACAAUCUCACUCCUUACCUAUUCCGCUGAGUAUAUCCAAAACAUCAAAGUAGGCCUUGUUGUGGGAAAUAUAGGCCUCAAUCAUAUUGAAGAGCAUCUAAAAAAAACCCAGCAAUUAAUAUAACAUUCAAUAGGUCCAAUUACAACGGCUAAUUUCCUUAUUUACUGUCAAUGAAGAGUUAGUAAACGGCUCCGCAUAUUCACCACUGUCACACCAUCAUUGACGAGUGACUCGCCCAACACCAGAAUGAAAAGGACCUCAUUGACGUGGACCUCCUCAAACACGGAUAAAACAGCCACCGGGUCCACUGCGGCAAUUACCGAGCUGAAUAAAAGAUAGUGAAGCAAGGCCAUGUCCAAAUUACCUUGAAAACAAAAGGAAGACAAAAGAUAUUUAAUAGUGGGAAGCUUUGACUUGAACCUUUAGCAUCUUCUUACCCAUGGCUCCUUCCUUCUGACAGCCCCAUAGGGUCAACCCCAAGCUGACAGUAUUCCAUAAGGUCCCAAUAAUGGCAUAGACCAGAAUGGUUCCUAUAUUUCGGAAGAACAGCUUAUUUGGCAAAAAAUAGCCGGCAUCCAGGACGAUUUGAGGAAGCAGGUAUAAGAAAAAUACGGUGGGGGUCAACUCGAAGAGGUGCACUAUGUCUGCCCACCAGAUGAUGAGACCCACGAUGAAGCCGAAGAUAAUGAGCAGAGCGCUUUCUGGGAUUAUAUAGGUCACAUGAUGAUUCGCCUCGAUCACUGUGGAGGAACAUGGAAUUUGAAAUUGAAGAUAAUAGGAUUGUUGGGGAAUAAAGAAUAUCAUAGAACAAAUAGUGUUUAUUAUAGACCAUCAGAGACAAAAAAAAAAGGCAAUAUUCUGGAAUUUUUACUUACCUAGUUUUGCCAAAAAGGCCACCAGUACCCCUACUGCAACUAUAUAAGGACCCUUCACAAGAUCCCACCUAAAGGACACAAUGUCUAUCCUGGUGCCAUUCCCACUGGUAUUUCGAUGCUUUGCUGUCUCAUCUUCAGCUAUCGGGGAACCAAGGACCACUAAAAUCAGCAAGACUGAGCAGAGGAGCCAAAUGUAUGCUAAUCCACAUGGAUGCAUUUGAUUCGUUCAAUACGGCAAGAAAAUUUGAAGGCACUCCCUUUGCCUUGAACUCCAGAGACAGUCAAUAAGUUCAAACUUUCUUUGGCUUUUGCCAAUUUCUCUCUUAUUACUUUAACUUACACCUCUCAUUUUCAUCUUUACUCCAUUAAUGGUGAUUGUUUCCCGUGGUCAGGCGAUGAAAUAAAUGUCGGAGAGUAGAUUCACGUUGUCCUUUAGACGCAAAAGGCACUUUAAUAUGCGGGUGAUGACGUAAUCGGCGUGACGUCACGUCCCGCUAGCCGUCCGAUAAUUUACGUUUGGCAUAAAUUUGAAGAUUGAAUAAGGCAAACAAGAUUAAAAAUUGCAGAGUCAGGGUUAUUUUUCGACUUUUUUUUAAUUUUUUAAAUUACGUUAGAAUUGUUCAUUUUAAUCGACUGGUCAUGAAUAAGUGCCCUCUGCCUCUUAGUGGUGGGAACGUGUAACUUGUUGACUGCUGUGUUUAUAAAUUAGGAAUAAUAAUAAUAACUUUCUUUUCAUUGCACCUUUGUUAGUGUAUAGAGAAAAUUGGAGGAAAUGGAUGUGUAAGAAGAAUGAUAAAUAAAUAAACUCCACAUUCUUUUUUCAUUUUAAUUUCAAAAAUCUACAUGAAACAGUCUAAUAUUUUACUUGGUCAAAAUAUUCUUAAGAGAAAUAUUAUAACAGCUGGUGACUAUCAUCCAAAUAUUUUGCCGUAUGGAUGAAAAAAAAAUACACGCUAUAUAGUUGUUUGGGUUGAAAGAUUAUUGAGAUAAAAAUAUCUUUAAUGCUACUCUGUAGCUUUCACAUCUGCAUUGAAUGGGUUAUAUUAAUAAAUAAAAAGCUGUACAUAUUGCAUCCCUUGAAAAAAAAUAAUAUUUGUGUGCAUUUUGCACCUGAUGCUAACACGUGUUUAGCAAAUGGUGAUGAUAAAUCUACAUGGGUCAAAGUGUCACCAGUACAAAGGUUCUAAAGGAGUUAAC
RNA transcript from Syngnathus typhle (broad-nosed pipefish), 5074 nucleotides. It is a transcript of the gene named oleoyl-ACP hydrolase, with no coding region annotated. Lineage: Eukaryota; Metazoa; Chordata; Actinopteri; Syngnathiformes; Syngnathidae. The transcript is spliced from 7 exons. The record is from RefSeq and is a predicted model, not a curated record.